GACGAACGCUGGCGGCGUGCUUAACACAUGCAAGUCGAACGGAAAGGCCCUGCUUUUGUGGGGUGCUCGAGUGGCGAACGGGUGAGUAACACGUGAGUAACCUGCCCUUGACUUUGGGAUAACUUCAGGAAACUGAGGCUAAUACCGGAUAGGAGCUCCUGCUGCAUGGUGGGGGUUGGAAAGUUUCGGCGGUUGGGGAUGGACUCGCGGCUUAUCAGCUUGUUGGUGGGGUAGUGGCUUACCAAGGCUUUGACGGGUAGCCGGCCUGAGAGGGUGACCGGCCACAUUGGGACUGAGAUACGGCCCAGACUCCUACGGGAGGCAGCAGUGGGGAAUAUUGCACAAUGGGCGGAAGCCUGAUGCAGCAACGCCGCGUGCGGGAUGACGGCCUUCGGGUUGUAAACCGCUUUCGCCUGUGACGAAGCGUGAGUGACGGUAAUGGGUAAAGAAGCACCGGCUAACUACGUGCCAGCAGCCGCGGUGAUACGUAGGGUGCGAGCGUUGUCCGGAUUUAUUGGGCGUAAAGGGCUCGUAGGUGGUUGAUCGCGUCGGAAGUGUAAUCUUGGGGCUUAACCCUGAGCGUGCUUUCGAUACGGGUUGACUUGAGGAAGGUAGGGGAGAAUGGAAUUCCUGGUGGAGCGGUGGAAUGCGCAGAUAUCAGGAGGAACACCAGUGGCGAAGGCGGUUCUCUGGGCCUUUCCUGACGCUGAGGAGCGAAAGCGUGGGGAGCGAACAGGCUUAGAUACCCUGGUAGUCCACGCUGUAAACGGUGGGUACUAGGUGUGGGGUCCAUUCCACGGGUUCCGUGCCGUAGCUAACGCUUUAAGUACCCCGCCUGGGGAGUACGGCCGCAAGGCUAAAACUCAAAGGAAUUGACGGGGCCCCGCACAAGCGGCGGAGCAUGCGGAUUAAUUCGAUGCAACGCGUAGAACCUUACCUGGGUUUGACAUGGAUCGGGAGCGCUCAGAGAUGGGUGUGCCUCUUUUGGGGUCGGUUCACAGGUGGUGCAUGGCUGUCGUCAGCUCGUGUCGUGAGAUGUUGGGUUAAGUCCCGCAACGAGCGCAACCCUUGUUCACUGUUGCCAGCACGUUAUGGUGGGGACUCAGUGGAGACCGCCGGGGUCAACUCGGAGGAAGGUGGGGAUGACGUCAAGUCAUCAUGCCCCUUAUGUCCAGGGCUUCACGCAUGCUACAAUGGCUGGUACAGAGAGUGGCGAGCCUGUGAGGGUGAGCGAAUCUCGGAAAGCCGGUCUCAGUUCGGAUUGGGGUCUGCAACUCGACCUCAUGAAGUCGGAGUCGCUAGUAAUCGCAGAUCAGCAACGCUGCGGUGAAUACGUUCCCGGGGCU
RNAcentral lists this ribosomal RNA (1346 nucleotides) under uncultured bacterium. RNAcentral describes it as "bacterial SSU rRNA". It matches the Rfam family "Bacterial small subunit ribosomal RNA", at positions 28 to 1381 of the family's 1533-position model. The record is from RNAcentral.